Molecule: ribosomal RNA, 469 nt
Filed under: Salmonella enterica subsp. enterica serovar Enteritidis
Lineage: Bacteria; Pseudomonadati; Pseudomonadota; Gammaproteobacteria; Enterobacterales; Enterobacteriaceae
Description: partial 23S ribosomal RNA
Rfam family: Bacterial large subunit ribosomal RNA
Source: RNAcentral
AAUCCAUAGGUUAAUGAGGCGAACCGGGGGAACUGAAACAUCUAAGUACCCCGAGGAAAAGAAAUCAACCGAGAUUCCCCCAGUAGCGGCGAGCGAACGGGGAGGAGCCCAGAGCCUGAAUCAGCAUGUGUGUUAGUGGAAGCGUCUGGAAAGGCGCGCGAUACAGGGUGACAGCCCCGUACACAAAAGCGCAUGUGCUGUGAGCUCGAUGAGUAGGGCGGGACACGUGGUAUCCUGUCUGAAUAUGGGGGGACCAUCCUCCAAGGCUAAAUACUCCUGACUGACCGAUAGUGAACCAGUACCGUGAGGGAAAGGCGAAAAGAACCCCGGCGAGGGGAGUGAAAAAGAACCUGAAACCGUGUACGUACAAGCAGUGGGAGCACCCUUUGGGUGUGACUGCGUACCUUUUGUAUAAUGGGUCAGCGACUUAUAUUCUGUAGCAAGGUUAACCGAAUAGGGGAGCCGGAGG